Molecule: ribosomal RNA, 460 nt
Filed under: uncultured bacterium
Lineage: Bacteria
Description: partial 16S ribosomal RNA
Rfam family: Bacterial small subunit ribosomal RNA
Source: RNAcentral
CCUACGGGAGGCUGCAGUGAGGAAUAUUGGUCAAUGGACGAGAGUCUGAACCAGCCAAGUAGCGUGAAGGAUGACUGCCCUCUGGGUUGUAAACUUCUUUUAUAAAGGAAUAAAACGAGGCACGUGUGUCUUUUUGCAUGUACUUUAUGAAUAAGGAUCGGCUAACUCCGGUCCAGCAGCCGCGGUAAUUCGGAGGAUUCGAGCUUUAUACGGAUUUAUUGGGUUUAAAGGGAGCGUAGAUGGGUUGAUAAGUCAGUAGUGAAAGUUUGGGGCGCAACCGGAAAAUUGCAAGUGAUACUGGCAGUCUUGAGUACAGUUGAGGUAGUCGGAAGUCGGGGUGUAGCGGUGAAAUGCUUAGAUAUCACGAAGAACCCCGAUUGCGAAGGCAGCUUACUAAACUGUGACUGACAUUGAUGCUCGAAAGUGUGGGUAUCAAACAGGAUUAGAUACCCUAGUAGUC